This is a long non-coding RNA of Melospiza georgiana, 366 nucleotides long. RefSeq lists it as uncharacterized. The transcript is spliced from 3 exons. The record is from RefSeq and is a predicted model, not a curated record. NCBI's taxonomy places the organism in Eukaryota, Metazoa, Chordata, Aves, Passeriformes, Passerellidae.
ACCUGGAGUGAGAUGAGUGGUGAUGAUUCUUUCUCUAGAGUGUGAAUCCUGAUGGUACAUCAGGUACAUCCUGACAUAUGACUUGUACUGCUAGGAAAGGACACAGGAGAGAAGAGAGUCCUCUGCUUCAGCUGAAAUUAUUACAAGGGGCUGGAAAGAAGUAUUAUUUGUAGAAAGUAUGCAAGGAUCAGCAGUAAAUGAAUUUGAAGCAAAGGUGAAGCAAACUUUCAAGAAACACCAUGAAACUGCAAACUGGUGAUUACACUACACAUGAAGGUUUUUGUGGUUGUGAAUAUGCAUUUGAAUCUACAGAAUGGAUACCAAAUCAGUCCACUUGCUACUGAAACAUACAAGAUUAGAACAACU